This 72-nucleotide transfer RNA is filed under the name Saurida eso. RNAcentral's name for it is "tRNA-Ile". It matches the Rfam family "tRNA". From Rfam's summary of the family: Transfer RNA (tRNA) molecules are approximately 80 nucleotides in length. Their secondary structure includes four short double-helical elements and three loops (D, anti-codon, and T loops). Further hydrogen bonds mediate the characteristic L-shaped molecular structure. tRNAs have two regions of fundamental functional importance: the anti-codon, which is responsible for specific mRNA codon recognition, and the 3' end, to which the tRNAs corresponding amino acid is attached (by aminoacyl-tRNA synthetases). tRNAs cope with the degeneracy of the genetic code in two manners: having more than one tRNA (with a specific anti-codon) for a particular amino acid; and 'wobble' base-pairing, i.e. permitting non-standard base-pairing at the 3rd anti-codon position. The record is from RNAcentral. Lineage: Eukaryota; Metazoa; Chordata; Actinopteri; Aulopiformes; Synodontidae.
GGAGCCGUGCCUGAAUGCCAAAGGACCACUUUGAUAGAGUGAACCACGAGGGUUAAAUCCCCUCCGGCUCCU